UCCCUGAUGGCUCAGAGGUUAAAGCAUCUGCCUCUAAUACAGGAGACCUGGGUUCGAUCCCUGGGUUGGGAA
This is a transfer RNA of Ovis aries (sheep), 72 nucleotides long. It matches the Rfam family "tRNA". From Rfam's summary of the family: Transfer RNA (tRNA) molecules are approximately 80 nucleotides in length. Their secondary structure includes four short double-helical elements and three loops (D, anti-codon, and T loops). The record is from Rfam. NCBI's taxonomy places the organism in Eukaryota, Metazoa, Chordata, Mammalia, Artiodactyla, Bovidae.